Molecule: long non-coding RNA, 1229 nt
Organism: Equus caballus (horse)
Lineage: Eukaryota; Metazoa; Chordata; Mammalia; Perissodactyla; Equidae
Source: Ensembl
UGCAUUCUUUGUUCCCUCAGUCAAUCCCCUGGAGCUGCAAGCGAGGACGUGCUGCACGGCAUGCUAAACACCAGGUGGCUGUGGUUUGGCAGGAGCAGACGAGAUAACAGGGACCUACUCAUGUGACCAUACCAGCUUGAAGGGAGGCUGGGAAACGAAGCUUUUUAGCUGGCAAAUCACAUGUCUGAAAAAAAAAAAUGGAGAAAAUGAAAUUGAGGCCAUCAGGAGGAUCUGCCACGAAAGGAUGCCAGGAGCCUCAGCGAGCCAAAGGGGAGCUGGAGAAACAGAGCGAAUGUUGGGCAGGACCCAGAGCCCUUCUGGGGACCAGGCAGAAGAAACGGAAUGUCGCAUUGGCAGCUUGAAAUUGGCCACGAAGGGAAUAUUUACGCCACGGAAACUGGCAAACCCUACAAAUGAGAGUUCUCCUCCCCGCCAGAGCCUGUUGUUAAACAUCCACCAGCACACCACUGUCCGCGUACCCGCUAUCUCAUGUGAUGAGACGUCAUGGUCAGGGUUUGGAAACAAAGGAGACAGGGACAUUUAAAACAAAGGCCAACAAAAUGGAAUUUAUUCUGAGCACCUGUUGAUUCUGCACCUGGUCUUCGCUUCCUCUGCUGAGACUCUUAACGCUCACGGCUGUAAUUUUUGAGCAUCUGUUAGAUACCAGGCAUAUGAAUUCAUAGUCUCUGGUCAUCAGUUUCAAGUUAGACAUUAUUAUGCCAUUUUAUGGAUCAGAAAUCGGAGGCACACGGAGGUUAAGCGACAGCCCCCAGGUCAAACCUUUGGCUCCCUGCCACACGGCCUCUUGUCUGGCUGGGUGUAUCUGUCUGGCCAGCAACUGUGUCAUCGGACAUGCUGUCACUUUAAAGUACAGUUGCUCUUCAUAUCUGCCUCUUCUGCGUUUUCUGAAAUGUCAUUUAUUCUUUGGCUUGAACUAUUCUCCUUUUCAUCUUCGCCGGCUUUAUGCUACUGCGUUGGACUAUGAUGGUGACAAAGCCUUUUCUUUAAAGUUAUCCAGUCAAAGCAAGUGGCAGUUUAUAACCAUCCCCAGAGAAUAACGCAUGUGACAACCCACAGGCGUUGCACGGACCUCAGGAGCAGGCUUGGGAGGAGUUCAUAAGCACCAGAGCUAGCAACAAGCUGCAGGGGAAAGGCCUGCCCCUACUCCCCGGAAGCUCACCCUCUGCGGAUGGCAUCUUGUCAUUCUCACAACAUCCUUGUCAACAGUG